GGGAGCUAUUCAGGGCCUGGACUCCCUGCCAGGCUGGCCCUGCACGGAGGUAGGAAAGGAAUGCGCUGGUGGCCUUGGGGGUAUUUAAGUUUAGGAGCAAAUCAGGGGAAGCAGCCAGUCCCUAUGGAGGGCGUCCCAAGGGACGCCCCCUUCCCUCUGCUCCCAGCUCUGAGGGCACCUUUGACAAUGUUCCCAGUGGCCUUGGGGGCAGUCACAGCCGAGUCCUGCCCACAAGCAGAGGGCGGGAGGAAGGUUUUCGGAGGGGAAGGAGCUUCACCACUCCACUGGUCUCAGAUGAUCAGCACCACCCAGGUGCAAGAACUAGUCCAGUCCCAUUUUUCACAGAAAAAGAAAACAGGUUCAGAAAGACCUGGAAAGGCAAGUGGGAAAUGCAGAGGAAGGAGGAGCAGCUUCCAGAGGCUCCCACAGAGGUUCACGUCCAGAGCCCGAGGGCAGCGGACACGCCCCCUCCCUAAAGGGGCCGGGGAUGGGAAGGAGUUAGGAAGCAACAGAGAGCAGGCCCAGGGCCAGCGAGGCUUUUCUUACAACCCCUAGCAGAGGGCAGGAGAAGGGGACUUGAGCGUCCUCUGGCUGGCCUGGCCGAGGGGGCAAUUGGUAAUCAUUUUCAUGAUCACGAGCUGCCAGUUUUAGGGGGGCUGUUUGAGGUGGGCUGUGGGGGUGCUAGCAAAGGCUAAUCUGGCAAGGAGGCAUAUAAAUGAAGAUCUGAAUUAGAGAGAUAGCAUCCAUAAUGGCCCUGGGGCAGGGAGCACCAGGCAGGAGGAUCAGCAGGGGCAGGGAGCAGAGGCCCUGAGGUCUUACAUGAAGUCACCCAUUUAAAAAUAGUACUGACCACUUUAAAAAAAAAAAAAAAAAACUAUGCAAAGCAAAUGCCCCAGGGUCAGAUUUGGCCUGGAGGUGAUCAGAUCUGCACUUGGCCUUGAAUCUUGAACAGACAGAGUGGAACUGAAAGGAGCCAAAGGGCAAAGACACUGGAGAGCUGCAGAGCUGGACCGGUGCUGGGACCAGACCCCCCCCACACACCGUGGCCAACAGGGUUUGAACCAGGGAUCCCCGGAGGGGCACCUGCUGCUGCCACGGAGCCUGACUGGGUGUGCGCCAGCUGAGAUGUCUGCCCAGGUCACAGGUGUGGGGACAAGAGUCACACCCAUUCUGGGGUCAUGGGGCUGCUGUCAUCUAGAUCCAUUUUGAAGACGAGAACCUGGUGUCCAGCGAGCUACACUGAAUCACCCAGGUCACAAACAAGGACCAGAGUCGUCCUGGGGCUCUCCCCAGGACGUCCAGAUGCUCCCGAAUCUGCAGGCUUUGGGAGCCCAUCUCCACCAGACUCCUCCUGCACUGACCCAUCUCUAACCAAUAACGCAGAAUAAGAAAAUCGGAUUUUGCAGUGACUCACUUUAUCCAUGGCUGAGAGGCGAACGUGGGGAUUUGGCCUGACGAAGCCCUCUGACGAUGUGCCUGUGGCACAUGCUGUUCAGUGAGAGCCCUGAGCUGCCCUGAGCUGGCCGAGGGCCCUGCUGCCAGCUGAGCCCAGUGCCUGCCUCCCAGCCACCCUCCCUCCCGCUAGGUGUGAGUCAAGCCUGGAGACCUCAGUGUGCCGGCUGCAGAGCCUCCACUUUCCUUGGCUCCUGAGCAAGAUGUACUUUUCCAAAGGACACUGAUUCAGCUGAGCCCGGAGUUUGCAAUGCCCUGCAGCAGUGAGGCCCGCCUCCCCUGAGUCCACACUGUCCUGGAGUGGGGACCACAGAGGGAAGCUACUACCUCCCUCGCCUUUUUCCUCCUCCUUCCCAAAUGGCAGGAGGACCCACCUUCUGAGGACCCACCCAAGCCAGCCAGACCCCCAGUGGCCUCCCUGGAGCCCCCGUGGCCGUGCACACCUGCAGACAGGAACGGAAAGGAAGGGCCCGCGGUGGAUGGCCAGGGACCCUCCAGUGUGGAGCCAGGACAGCCUUCCCGUCAACCUGGGGUCCUGGCAGCUCAGCACCAAGUGCCCGGUGGACCACGUUUCCGCUGGUACAAAGCACUGUGCUUGGGAGCAGCUUCGGGUUCACAGGAACACGGAGCAGACGCGGAGUCCRUCCUCCCUGACCCACACGUGCACAGCUCCCGCUGUCCACACACCCUCAGAAGGCACAUCUGUCAUCCACAGGCGCCAGCCAGGCCGCCCAUCACACCCAGUGCUUGGUUCUACAAGGCUGAGUCCCGGUGCCGAGCGUCCCUGGGCUUGGAUGAACGUGCGAUGGCAUCUGUCCACCAGGACAGUGCCCAAGAGCGGCCUCUCUCCUAAAACCCACGCCCCUGAAGCCCCAACCCCCCUGUACUGCUGGUCUUUUCCUGUCCCCAUGUGGCCUUUUCUACAGCGGGGACACACAGCUCCACGGCUGCUGGGAGCAUCUUGGUCAGUGUUGUGCACACCAGGUGCCCCUUGCUUCACGGGUUCGGGGCUCCUCCUAGUUGGCACCGGUGACCUCCGUGUCUACAGGUAGCUGCGCAGACUUGUGACUUCUGUAAAGUGGGGGUGAAAAUCCUGCCCACUAUGGGAGUGCGGCCGAAAGCAGGGCCCUACCUCGGGAGUGGCCAACUCGCUGCACAAAGCAAGCGGUGGUCGGCCAUGACUGACCACACCGGUACCGUGGCCAUCACCACUGGUGGGCUCGCCACGCAGUUCUCCACCAGGGCAGCACAGGGAGGGGACAACCUCUGCUGACCCAGCGGCCAGCCCUCUCCAGGCUCAACCUGUUCACAUGCAAAAUGGGGGCAGGGAGGCUACAUCUCUCCUCUGGGGGGUCGGAGACAGAGCAGAUGACUGACUGGCAUGCAGGAGCCAUGGACAUCCGAUGGGCACUCUCAGAAGGCCAGGUCCUGGCUGCAAGGUCUGGAGGGGUCCCUGGCCUUUUCUGGGGCCCAGUGGACAGCCACUUGGGUGACAUCACAGACGUGCUAUGGAAGGAAGAAGUCCCACACACGGGCCGAGGGACACGCAGAACUAACGCCUGCAGGAGUCAGGAGCCCGCUCACCUUGUGGCCUCCCGGGGUGCUGAAGACGGGCUGUACCCCCAUCCACGCGCGGCCACCGCGCUGCGCGUUUCAGGAGCGCUCUGUCAUGAGCCACCGUUCAAUUUAGAAAUUAAAAUUAAAAAACUAAAGAGAAUCAAGUCAUCAGCCAGGUGUGGGACUCCUCGGCACCACCUGAGGAUCAUGUGACAGAGACGGUUUCAGGGCUUCUUUCCUUGGAUUCCUACUGCCACCUUCCCUGGGUGCAACCCCAAGCAAGUGGCAGGACCCAGGCAAGCAUUCAAGAACUCCUGAAACCUGCCCUCCCUGCUGUGUGAGCUGGGCUAAGUGAUGUCCCUCUCUGAGCCUGGUGGCCUAGUGUACAAAGUGUGCUCAGGAUGAAUCGGGAGUGUCCAGCACUGUGCUUAGCAGAUAGCAGCUGCUUAAAAAAGGUGACCUGUUCAUAGGAUUCUCACUGAAACGCCCCCAGAGUGUCUUGCCAAUUGCAGGUUUGGGUGGGUUGAGAAAUCUGUCCAGUGGGCUGCAACCGGUAUAAAAAAAAAAAAAAAGACUAGCGCAGGAAGGAGAACUCAGUCUGCGCUGCUGCCUACAAGAGGCACACAACCCCAUUCUACUGCGCCACCGUGCCACAGCCUAGGGGUACCUAGGAAUAAUAACACACCCUGUGAGAAGAGCUCCAGAAAGGUCACGGGUGGCACUUCCCUGAGGACGGACAGGCUGUGGAGUUGAGGGCAGAGCAGAGGGGCUGCCUGCAGGGGGCGCCAGACCCGGCCCUGCGGCUCCAGAGGGGCUCCCAGAGGAAAGAGGCUGGACAGACACCCAGGAUGACGGUGGGCUGGCGCUAGUGGUGAAAGGAGGAGCAGACUUCCGCACUGCCCAGCCCCGGAGCCGGGURUUAAGAGUUGGAGAAACCUGGCUUCCAAUCCUGAAGCCACCACCUCUUACCACUGUCGGCUGGGCAAGGCCACCAGGGGCAGCAGGUGGGCUCUUCCCUGCUCACGGGCACCUGAUGGGCACCUGAUCGAGGCCCAGGCCCACUCCAGGAGGCAUAUGGCAUGCAGGGGCCUCAGGAGCCCACAGAAGGCAGGCUGUUACAGUGAUCCCCAGAGCUGGCCGAGGGUGACCUGCACCAGCCUCUGACCUUGACCUUCAACGUGCAGUGCGAGCUCAGAAAAGCUGGUCUCAUGAAAGUCUGUACCAACAGCACAGAAGGCUCCCUGCACCCUCCACCUGGCUUUCCGUCACAUAACGUGACCAGAGAAACCUCCUCGGAACUCAGAGGUACGCCUUGGCAGGACUCUAUCAGCUGAACACACAUUUGCGUGGGUUUUCCCCUCAAGUUUUCUGGUCUGGAACCUCACACAGCAUUUAGUUGUGUCUGCUCCAAUCUGUGAUGGAGGUGAGAGCAGCUGUGCUUCAUGGCAGGUGGGCAGACUGCUUCCUCCMAGAGGUUUUCUGAGGGGCUGAGGAUAGAGCACAGGGACCUGUCCCAUCACUGAGCCACACCCCAGACMUUUUCAGUUUUAUUUUGAGAAAGGAUCCUGCUAAAACGCCCAGGCUAUCCUUGAACUUGGGAUCCUCCUGCCUCGGCUUCCUGAGUUGCCAGAGUACAACCACCCCCUUUAUGCCCAGUGCUAGAACCACACCGGGCACAUAGUAGGUGCUCAGAGCAUUUGUCAAACAAACCAAGGGGCCAAGGCGCUGAGCAGGCACCAGCUGCCCUCUUCCCCACAGGGAGCACAUUGUGUCCUGCCUGGGCACAGGCUGACCUGUGCCCACAACCKCACAGCUUAGCUGGAAGGAAACAGAAGGGGGGAGACCGACUCCAGCCUGGAAUGCGCCCUUGUCAGCCAGCUGGGACAGCGACAGACAGAGGUGGUGACGGUGGGAGGUGCUGUCCUCCUGGAGUGUGUCCAGCCUGGAGCAGAUCCCCUGAAUGACCAACUGGCUGCCUGCGAUCAGGGCCUCCGAUCCCUCCCGGGGACCUGCACAGCCCAGAGCAGUGUCUCAUCUGGACAGGGAAGUCAYGCAGGAAGAAUGCGCACGUCAGUGGACUGGUAUUUACAGGGAACAGCCCUGCCCACGGCCCAGGAUGGGGUGCAUGGGGUGUGGGAAGCCUCCCACAAAGGCCACUCACUGCCCACCCAAAAUCAAGUACCCCAGCCGCUACGAAGGGCGUCUCAGUGGUGGCCUAGCAGAGCUAACAGGAGCCUCCCGUGCCUUGAGUGGCUGCYUGGGUCCAGGCCUUGUGGCUGCAAAGGCUGCGGCCCUGUGUCCAGCAGCCCCCGUGUUCCCGUGCCCUCCUGCACGCCCUGUGGCUCAGGAACACCUGGCCACAGGCACCUCAGGACCCUGGGCAAGCUCCUCGGCCUGCUUUUCCUCUGGACAGCGGGGGAGCCACUGCCCACGUCACAGGGGGCCUAGAGGCUGGCCAAGAUGAUGAGCUUGGGCUGGCACUCAGCAGGGUCACUGAACAGACUUCACCUGUGUCCUCCGAAGCAAGAUGGGUCAGAAUGGUCACAGUCACAUGACAGCAAGACACUCGGCAAAGCCCCCCCAUUUCCGCCCCAAGCCCCGGGACACACAGUCCUGGCACCCGCUGUCUUCUGYACCAUCACUAGGUGCCAGGCAAGAGCCGGGCUUCAAGGACCUGGUGGGUGGUGCAGACCACCUGCCUCGCCCCCAGGCUGCAGGCGCUGCUCUGUCCACACCUCCUUCUGUCCAGGAGAGAGGGUCUCAGUUGCUUAGCRCCUCACAGUUUCUGAGGCUGGCUUUGAAGUUCAAUCCUGCUGCAAAGAGGGAGACCCCCCCACCUGCUGAGGCACCCCUCGCUCUUCCCCACUUCCCUCGCUCUCCUGAGCUGCUGGUCCCCGUGACUUUCUGAGAGUCCUCUCAACAACUGAGGACGGUAAGUGGUUGAGGACGGUAAGCGUAGCUGGGUGUUGACUUCCUGGCUGAAACUCGGGGCCCCUGGGGCGGGGGCUGUGUCCCUGUUUCACCACCGGACAGUGUGCAGUGCAGUGGCCAGCGGGAACAUCUGUGAGUGACUGAGGAUUGGGCGACCAGCCAGACAGCCCCAGGGGCCAAAAGUGAAAGGGACCCAGACUCCAUGUCCCCACUCUGGGGGCUACAAGGGAAGCUGGAAGACAAGAGCACAGGGGGACAGAGUCACGUGCCUCRGGUCCCAGGAGCAGUGGGGCCCUGGAGGACAGGUGUGUGGCUUGACAGCUGCAGUGGAGCCUUACUGGCAGCCCACGCCCCCGAUCUUGUUGCCCCAAAAACAAUGCUGGGGAUCCAGGGCACCAUCAACCCGACCUUUGAUGUUUGUUCCUAAGGCCUGUGAGAGGCCCUGGGGCCCCAACACCUCUUCCCACAAGCUUUGCAAGGUCCUAGCUGUGACUUUCCUAUUGUGGGGUUUUCAGAGAUCCGACCCCUCACUCCCCCCGCCCCCAGUGUGCCUGGAACUUGCUUCAGGCACAUCCUGUGCAGGAUUUAACUGUACACCACGGGACCCUGGGAGGUCACUCUGCUCCAGUGUAUAAAGGGGACAUGGAGGCAGGGGCGACAGAGGCAAGGUGGAGUCCCCCGAGAUGGGCCCCUAGUCCGGUCCUGCUCCACAAGGGUCUGCAUAAUGAGCAGGCCUCCCGAGUGGGGAGCUACGCCCGCCAUGUGUGAGGAGCGGACCAAUCCCCCCGUGGGCUCCUGCUUCCCCUUCACAGCGCCCUAGGGGUUCCCUCACUUGAUCCCCCUGGUUUUCUGAAGCACCACAUCUGCUCAAGAACCUGCCUGCCUCUCCGUGGCCGAGUGCCGCACAGGGAGACCCCUCACCUGCUCACAGCACCCCUCRUCUUCCCCCCUCCCACUCUCACUGACCCCCACAACUCACCCCUAGAGCGCCCCUCCCCCAGGUGUCCUUCCGCCUCACCCACACCGGUUCAGUCCUGCUUUGGCCUCUGGACUGCCCUGACCCCUCGCCCUGGCUCUGAACCAAUCAAUCACUCAAGGURAAAGCAUGGGACAGGGUCGCGGGGGAAUCUUCUUCACCCCUGUCCAGAUGCCCCUGCCGUCCCCAGAGCUCUCAGGGCCCCUCUGCUCAGAAAACUCUCCCUCAGACGCCUGUCCUUGUUCCCCUUGCCCUGUCAGCCCCACAGAGGGGACGCCAGAUCCAUCACGGCCACUCCAUCCCCGGUGCAGGGCCCAGCAGUAAAUGUUACGUGUCUCAGUGAGCAAACACGCUCAUGGGUGCCCACCAGCAAGGAGGCCACUCAGCCGCAGCGCUGGGUGCAGGGUCGGUGGCCCUGCUGAGCUGCCAGGAGAGUCACGGGCUACAGAGACACAAAGGGCACAGGGCUCUCCAGGCGCAGAGCGGCUGGAGGCGGGUGGGCACGCUCCCCUCCCCCACCACAGCCCUCGUGGAAACUGGUGUCGCCAUCCCCACCCCAUGGUGUGUCCUAGAGUUCUGGGAAAUGCCACCAGGCGGCGAUGCAAAGACCCACAGGGUGCCAACACACCUGUCCUGCCCGACAGCCCAGGCAGCUCACUGAAGGGGCCCAUCGUGGGAGCCCAGAGCCCUGGUGGCUGAGUGCCCACCGAGUCCCCAGGCGUCAGUAUUUCGUCCCCACACUGGGGCAGAGUGACCCCCRCAGCCUGCGAAGCCCCUGCUUCAGAGAUGAGAAGACGGGCUGCACCCGCGGGGUCAGUGCCUCUUAAACUGCGUGGACCAGCGGCCGUGAGUCAGUGUCCACUGAAUGCUGCCCCAAAGUCCCAGCUCCCGCGUGGCCUCUCCAGCUGUCCUUGGACGACCCUGUCGAGUCUCAACAUGGAAAUACCCAGCCACCCCAGCCCUGUGCUGAGAACUGACCGGGGCUGGGUGCCUGUGUCACCUGGGUGACCCCCUACUGACCCCAGGGAAGGUCCCCAUUCCUGCUAAGGUGCCAUGGCAUUGGGAGCCUGCAGGAGCAGAGCUCAUCCUACCCAGGGAGGGAGCUCCAGUCACUUGCUAUGUGGUGCCUUCAGGGUGCCUGGCGCUGUCCUAGGCCCUGGGGAUCCCACAACGAACACAGCAGAGCCAGUCUCUGCUCUGGUGGGGGCCUCUGGAGACCCAGCUCUUGGUGGCUGGUCCCUACUAUUUCCCAAAGACUAGCUCCUCCCAAAGGGAGACCUCCCUGCCCAGGUUCCCAGUUCCACUGCCAGCAAGAAGCCCAGAAGAGGACCUGAGGAGCAGUGGCCUGGUUUAGAGGCCAAGAGGCCUCCUGGACACCAGCCAGCAAAACCAAGUCCUGGGCACUGGUCAAUGGCCAGAGGCCACCAGGCGGACUACGCCUGCUCCGGAAGACUGGACACCACCUCCAGACCCUUCCCAUGGGUUGGUGGCCUGGCUGGGCUUUAACCACUGGGCUCAAAGUGGAGGCACCAAGACAUGACCUACCCUCCUGUGGAGCGGUGGCAACAUGCCCAGCGCCUGGAGCCGUCCUGUCCGGCUCCGAUCCCACCAGGCCCAGUAGGGUCUGCAGACACAGGAGCAGCUCCUGCUCCUCCUCGGCUGGGUGGCCCGGCACCCACAGGUCUAUGGCUUGCUCUCAGCGCUAAAGGGGAAAAAGACCUUGGGCAAGUCUGCCUGGGGAGGGGGCAGGCCAGGUGGUCACUUGCCCAAGGUCACAGAUCGGAUAAGUGGGGCACUCUCAGGUAGGGAGUCGGCCUCGGGAGCCUGGGCUCCUACUGACCUCUUCUCUAUUAGGUCUGAUCCUUGCAGUAUCACUGCCAGACAGUCUUCCCACUCCAGAGAGAUACAGACUACAGAGGCCUCCAUCCUCUUUCCCAGGGACUCCUGCCCAGUUGCCCCAGGUCAGCACCAAGCAGCAGCCACGGAACGAGGCGAGUCCCAGCGGCCAAUUUGAUGUGCUCCAGUGGGUGAGGCGAGUGAGGGCCACCUGGGGUGACGUGCCUACAUGGCCCAGGGACCUGGCCAGACAGAGCAGGGGACCUUCUCAUGGCCCUUGACUCAGCUCACUUAGCUUGACACACACCCCAGCUCUGCGGCAGAAGCCGAGCUGCAAGUCCCCCUGACACCCAGGCAGGUGCUCCAGCCUUCUGAGCCUGGUUCCCCUGACCCCACCCAGGGCGGCCUCACCCACCGCGGGCCCCUCCAUAUAUCCCGAUGUUAACCUGCCAACGCUAGGACAGCCCACUCCACCUUGGCGCUCGCCCCUGUGGAGUGGGCAGAAGCCCCCAGGUGGCCCACCUGUGAGAACGGAAUGCACUGACGUGGGGACGGCAGCUAGCGCUCCUCUGGAGACCCAGAGAUGCACAGUGCUUUCUCGUCUACCGUCCCUGCCCGCCAAGCGCCCAAUGCCUGCCGCUCACCCCCAUUCCCCCUUCCAGAAGCACAGGUGAAGAUGCCCACAGGUCAGGUCUCGUGCCACACACCAGGAGCAGGAGGAAAGAAAAUCCCACAGCCAACGUGACCAGGGCGAAGCCAAAGCUUCUCUGCUAAGAAAAGAAACAGGAGGUGCCCACUCCAGGAAGGGGCAGCAAGAUUCCCGACGCAGCAAGGCCCGGAUGUCACACGGUCUAGAAGCCACACACGACCCGCGUGUCCACCACAGACCACGGCCUCCCUGAGACCAAGAAGCAGCCCCGCGCGUGAGAGCCACACCAGGACAGCUCAGGGAUAAACUGAACAGUUUGUCCAGGGAGGCAGACGCCUGAGAGCUACGGGACAUGACAGAGACUGAAAAGGACACAAAGAGACUGCUGGCCUGCACCCGACGGAAGCAGCCGACGGUCAGCGAGCAGACUCGGUGCGACCCCGCCCAGGAGUCCCAUGCCACUGCCCCUAAGGCCUGUACGGAGAGCCAAAGCAGUAGAGAAGAGGGACGUCGAAGACACCAGCUUCCUGACUUAGGGUCACAUUACAGAGCCACAGUCAGGAAAGAGCAUGGCCCUGGCAGGGAAAACCAGCAGGCAGACCGUGCAGCAGGACCAAGCCUCCAGAUACAGGGCCGCUAACCCGACCAGGCACCAAGAGGACACAGGGGAGCAGGCUCCUCAACCAAUCAGGCUGGGAAAGCUGAGCAUCUUCGUUCAAAAGAGUGGAACUGGCCCCUUAUCUUAUACCAUAUGCAAAAAUCAACUUGAAUAAAUAAGAACACGUAAAACCCCAAAGCACAAAACUGCUAGAGGAAAUCGGGGAAGGCCUGGACACGGGCUUUGGCAAUGAUUCCUUGGAUGUCACCAAGCAGAUGGCAUCAAAGGAACGGAAAGGCUGUGGCUGGGAGACCCCAGGGCUCACUGGGGAGGGUCAGAUUUACCACACGGGAGCAAGAAAAUGUCAUCCCGUCAAAACUGGGCAGGGCUUGAACAGGCACUUUAAUGGCCAGCAGGUCUGUGGAAAGGUGCCAUCAGACACCAGGGAAAUGCAGGCGGCCACCACCUCACGCCUGCUGUCCAGACGACAGAGAGCAAGUGCUGGUGAGGAAGUGGAGAGGGGACCCUGCACACCAUGGGGCUCAGGCGGGCCCACGGUGGGGAAAGCAGCAGGGGGUGCCCAGCACCCUGCGGGCAUCUCUCUGGGCACACACUCAGAGGACACAAAGCCACACCUGGCAAAGGUGCCAAGUUAUGCAAACUCCGUGAGUGUCCACCAAGGGCCAAGUGGACACGGAAGCAAGUGCAGACACAAAGAGACAGUGCCACAAGCCAUGGGCCCAGAGGACACGUGCUGGGGGGAAGGCUAGACACCCAAAGGACAACUUUGCACUGUGACCUCUCCCUGGCACUCUGUUUUCUACUCAAAAGGUCAAAGACACAGGGAGUAAAAAUGGUCCCCAGGAUCAGGUGCAGGAGGAAACAGGAAAGAGGCAGAAGGAGGUCAAAGGACACAGAUAUCCAAGUGGACCCACUGGAGACGAGGGACCACGGGUGGUGGCGUGUGCGUGUUCAGGGCCCAUGCCACGUGUCCCUCACAGGGGCUCUUGCCCCCGAGGAGCGAGGUAUGAGCUGAUUGGGACCUGCAGGGGGCUGGUCCCCAAGGUUCAUGUGAGGGAAGCUGGGUCCCAGCUUUGGCAACUCGAAGUGCUGGAACCCUUAACAGGUGUGGCCAGGAAGGAGGUCACUACCAGUGUCACUCUCGAGAGAGGUUAAGGUAGUUCCCGGGGGAGGGUUGUUAUAAAAGCCCCUCCCAUCCACCGAUCUCUCCAUGUUGUUUGUUUUCCCUGUUUGAUCUCUGCCUCUUGCACAAGAUGCCAUUGGCCACAAAGUGAGGCAGCCAGGGGCACUCACACAGAGCCAGCGCAAUGCCACCUGAACUCUCAGCCUGGAAAUUGUGAGCUAAAUAAACCUCUUUUAUUUAUAAG
This is a non-coding RNA of Urocitellus parryii (Arctic ground squirrel), 11387 nucleotides long. The record is from RefSeq and is a predicted model, not a curated record. NCBI's taxonomy places the organism in Eukaryota, Metazoa, Chordata, Mammalia, Rodentia, Sciuridae.